This 2493-nucleotide ribosomal RNA is filed under the name Escherichia coli UMEA 3271-1. Its description in RNAcentral is "bacterial LSU rRNA". It matches the Rfam family "Bacterial large subunit ribosomal RNA", at positions 1 to 2521 of the family's 2925-position model. Lineage: Bacteria; Pseudomonadati; Pseudomonadota; Gammaproteobacteria; Enterobacterales; Enterobacteriaceae. The record is from RNAcentral.
UUAAGCGACUAAGCGUACACGGUGGAUGCCCUGGCAGUCAGAGGCGAUGAAGGACGUGCUAAUCUGCGAUAAGCGUCGGUAAGGUGAUAUGAACCGUUAUAACCGGCGAUUUCCGAAUGGGGAAACCCAGUGUGUUUCGACACACUAUCAUUAACUGAAUCCAUAGGUUAAUGAGGCGAACCGGGGGAACUGAAACAUCUAAGUACCCCGAGGAAAAGAAAUCAACCGAGAUUCCCCCAGUAGCGGCGAGCGAACGGGGAGCAGCCCAGAGCCUGAAUCAGUGUGUGUGUUAGUGGAAGCGUCUGGAAAGGCGCGCGAUACAGGGUGACAGCCCCGUACACAAAAAUGCACAUGCUGUGAGCUCGAUGAGUAGGGCGGGACACGUGGUAUCCUGUCUGAAUAUGGGGGGACCAUCCUCCAAGGCUAAAUACUCCUGACUGACCGAUAGUGAACCAGUACCGUGAGGGAAAGGCGAAAAGAACCCCGGCGAGGGGAGUGAAAAAGAACCUGAAACCGUGUACGUACAAGCAGUGGGAGCACGCUUAGGCGUGUGACUGCGUACCUUUUGUAUAAUGGGUCAGCGACUUAUAUUCUGUAGCAAGGUUAACCGAAUAGGGGAGCCGAAGGGAAACCGAGUCUUAACUGGGCGUUAAGUUGCAGGGUAUAGACCCGAAACCCGGUGAUCUAGCCAUGGGCAGGUUGAAGGUUGGGUAACACUAACUGGAGGACCGAACCGACUAAUGUUGAAAAAUUAGCGGAUGACUUGUGGCUGGGGGUGAAAGGCCAAUCAAACCGGGAGAUAGCUGGUUCUCCCCGAAAGCUAUUUAGGUAGCGCCUCGUGAAUUCAUCUCCGGGGGUAGAGCACUGUUUCGGCAAGGGGGUCAUCCCGACUUACCAACCCGAUGCAAACUGCGAAUACCGGAGAAUGUUAUCACGGGAGACACACGGCGGGUGCUAACGUCCGUCGUGAAGAGGGAAACAACCCAGACCGCCAGCUAAGGUCCCAAAGUCAUGGUUAAGUGGGAAACGAUGUGGGAAGGCCCAGACAGCCAGGAUGUUGGCUUAGAAGCAGCCAUCAUUUAAAGAAAGCGUAAUAGCUCACUGGUCGAGUCGGCCUGCGCGGAAGAUGUAACGGGGCUAAACCAUGCACCGAAGCUGCGGCAGCGACGCUUAUGCGUUGUUGGGUAGGGGAGCGUUCUGUAAGCCUGUGAAGGUGUGCUGUGAGGCAUGCUGGAGGUAUCAGAAGUGCGAAUGCUGACAUAAGUAACGAUAAAGCGGGUGAAAAGCCCGCUCGCCGGAAGACCAAGGGUUCCUGUCCAACGUUAAUCGGGGCAGGGUGAGUCGACCCCUAAGGCGAGGCCGAAAGGCGUAGUCGAUGGGAAACAGGUUAAUAUUCCUGUACUUGGUGUUACUGCGAAGGGGGGACGGAGAAGGCUAUGUUGGCCGGGCGACGGUUGUCCCGGUUUAAGCGUGUAGGCUGGUUUUCCAGGCAAAUCCGGAAAAUCAAGGCUGAGGCGUGAUGACGAGGCACUACGGUGCUGAAGCAACAAAUGCCCUGCUUCCAGGAAAAGCCUCUAAGCAUCAGGUAACAUCAAAUCGUACCCCAAACCGACACAGGUGGUCAGGUAGAGAAUACCAAGGCGCUUGAGAGAACUCGGGUGAAGGAACUAGGCAAAAUGGUGCCGUAACUUCGGGAGAAGGCACGCUGAUAUGUAGGUGAAGUCCCUUGCGGAUGGAGCUGAAAUCAGUCGAAGAUACCAGCUGGCUGCAACUGUUUAUUAAAAACACAGCACUGUGCAAACACGAAAGUGGACGUAUACGGUGUGACGCCUGCCCGGUGCCGGAAGGUUAAUUGAUGGGGUCAGCGCAAGCGAAGCUCUUGAUCGAAGCCCCGGUAAACGGCGGCCGUAACUAUAACGGUCCUAAGGUAGCGAAAUUCCUUGUCGGGUAAGUUCCGACCUGCACGAAUGGCGUAAUGAUGGCCAGGCUGUCUCCACCCGAGACUCAGUGAAAUUGAACUCGCUGUGAAGAUGCAGUGUACCCGCGGCAAGACGGAAAGACCCCGUGAACCUUUACUAUAGCUUGACACUGAACAUUGAGCCUUGAUGUGUAGGAUAGGUGGGAGGCUUUGAAGUGUGGACGCCAGUCUGCAUGGAGCCGACCUUGAAAUACCACCCUUUAAUGUUUGAUGUUCUAACGUUGACCCGUGAUCCGGGUUGCGGACAGUGUCUGGUGGGUAGUUUGACUGGGGCGGUCUCCUCCUAAAGAGUAACGGAGGAGCACGAAGGUUGGCUAAUCCUGGUCGGACAUCAGGAGGUUAGUGCAAUGGCAUAAGCCAGCUUGACUGCGAGCGUGACGGCGCGAGCAGGUGCGAAAGCAGGUCAUAGUGAUCCGGUGGUUCUGAAUGGAAGGGCCAUCGCUCAACGGAUAAAAGGUACUCCGGGGAUAACAGGCUGAUACCGCCCAAGAGUUCAUAUCGACGGCGGUGUUUGG